Molecule: ribosomal RNA, 330 nt
Filed under: uncultured bacterium
Lineage: Bacteria
Description: bacterial SSU rRNA
Rfam family: Bacterial small subunit ribosomal RNA
Source: RNAcentral
UGCGCAGGCGGUUUUGUAAGUCUGACGUGAAAUCCCCGGGCUUAACCUGGGAAUGGCGUUGGAGACUGCAAGGCUAGAAUCUGGCAGAGGGGGGUAGAAUUCCACGUGUAGCAGUGAAAUGCGUAGAUAUGUGGAGGAAUACCGAUGGCGAAGGCAGCCCCCUGGGCCAAGAUUGACGCUCAUGCACGAAAGCGUGGGGAGCAAACAGGAUUAGAUACCCUGGUAGUCCACGCCCUAAACGAUGUCUACUAGUUGUCGGGUCUUAAUUGACUUGGUAACGCAGCUAACGCGUGAAGUAGACCGCCUGGGGAGUACGGUCGCAAGAUUAAA